AGCGAGAAAAUGAGUGAGAAGCUCAUUCGCCGUAAACCUAAGGUUUCCUGGGAAAGGCAAUUCCGCCCAGGGUUAGUCGGCACCUAAGGCGAGGCCGAGAGGCGUAGCCGAUGGACAGCGCGUUAAUAUUCGUGCACCACUUCUGGAGAGUUGAUGAUGGGGUGACAAAGGUCUGGAUGUCAGCGGAGCGUCGAUUGUCUCCGUCUCUGGCUCGCGGGUGGGCUGGAGGUAAAUCCGCAGCCGUAAGCCUGGGAGUCGGGGCAGGACCAUCUGAGUCUGAAGUGAUUGGUAGGACCUUUCAAGAAAAACCUCGGUUCGUAUUUCCAGGAGUGACCGUACUAAAACUGACACAGGUAGGUGAGGUGAAUAUCCUAAGGCGCUCGAGAGAACCUUCGUUAAGGAACUAGGCAACUUAACUCCGUAACUUCGGGAUAAGGAGUGCCCCGUUAGGGUGAGCAUUUUUCAGUGCAAGCCUGAAGGGGUCGCAGUGAAAAGGGUCUAGCGACUGUUUACUAAAAACACAGGACUGUGCCAAGACCAAAAGUCGAUGUAUACAGUCUGACGCCUGCUCGGUGCCGGAAGGUUAAGGGGAAGGGUUAUCCCUUCGGGGAGAAGCUCAUAACCGAAGCCCCGGUUAACGGCGGCCGUAACUAUGACGGUCCUAAGGUAGCGAAGUUCCUUGUCGGGUAAGUUCCGACCCGCACGAAUGGCGUGACGACUGGACCGGUGUCUCAACGAAGGACUCGGCGAAAUUGUAGUUGUGGUGAAGAUACCACAUACCCGCAGCUAGACGGAAAGACCCCGUGAACCUUUACUAUACCCUAUUAUUGGCUUUGAGUAAUAUAUGUGUAGGAUAGGUGGGAGGCUUUGAAGGAAGGUCGCCAGACCUUCUGGAGCCAACGUUGAAAUACCACCCUUAUCUCACUUAAAUUCUAACAAGGUGCCGUGAAUCCGGGCCUUGGACAGUGGUAGGCGGUUAGUUUGGCUGGGGCGGUCUCCUCCUAAAGAGUAACGGAGGAGCCCAAUGGCUUCCUCAAUGCGGUUGGCAAUCGCAUGUAGAGCGUAAGGGUACAAGGAAGCUUAACUGCGAGACUUAUAAGUCAAGCAGAUGUGAAAGCAGGGCCUAGUGAUCCGGCGUAUUCCGGGUGGAAGGGACGUCGCUCAUCAGAUAAAAGGUACUCCGGGGAUAACAGGCUUAUCUUCCCCAAGAGUUCAUAUCGACGGGAAGGUUUGGCACCUCGAUGUCGGCUCAUCGCAUCCUGGGGCUGAAAGAGGUCCCAAGGGUUUGGCUGUUCGCCAAUGAAAGCGGUACGUGAGCUGGGUUUAGACCGUCGUGAGACAGGUCGGUCCCUAUCUACUGUGGGUGUAGGAUAUUUGAGGGGUUUUGACCUUAGUACGAGAGGAUUAGGUCGGACGAACCUCUGGUGUUUCUGUUGUCCUGUCAAGGGCAUAGCAGAGUAGCUACGUUCGGAACGGAUAAACGCUGAAAGCAUAUAAGCGUGAAACCCUCCCCAAAACACAGAUAUCCCUUGAGGCACCUCGAAGACUACGAGGUUGAUAGGCCGGGAGUGUAAGUGCAGCGAUGCAUUCAGCUUACCGGUACUAAUUUGCCGAUAGGCUUGACC
RNAcentral lists this ribosomal RNA (1625 nucleotides) under metagenome. Its description in RNAcentral is "bacterial LSU rRNA". It matches the Rfam family "Bacterial large subunit ribosomal RNA", at positions 1308 to 2925 of the family's 2925-position model. The record is from RNAcentral.